RNAcentral lists this long non-coding RNA (3020 nucleotides) under Homo sapiens (human). RNAcentral's name for it is "HSALNT0255818". The record is from RNAcentral. Lineage: Eukaryota; Metazoa; Chordata; Mammalia; Primates; Hominidae.
CUUAAGGAAGGUAUGGCACAGAGGUCUCACAUGUAUGGAGCUGGAUUCUGAAUUUGCAUCCUGGUUCAUUAAGAGUUUUGUGGGGUUUUUCUUUUCCUUGUUUAUUUUUGAGACAGGGUCUUGCUCUGUUGCCCAGUCUAGAGUGUAGUGGUACGAUCAUGGCUCACUGAAGCCUUAACCUCCUUCUGCCUCAACCUCCCAAGUAGCUGGGACUAUAGGCUUGCACCACCCAGCCGGCUAAUUUUUCUCUUUUUCUGUAGAGAUGAGGUUUUGCCAUGUUGCCCAGGCUGCGAUCCUCCUGCCUUAGCCUCCCAAAGUGCUGAGAUUACAGGUGUGAGCUCCACCAUGACUGGCCCUGGAGAUGGAUUCUGAAUUUGCAUUUAAGCUCAUUGAGAGCUUAGCGGGACCAGUAUCUCGUUUCCUCUGUGGCUGAGCCGGCUGAGCUGAUAAUGGGGAUCAGAUUGAUGGAAGCCACACCCGCCCUGCCCCAGCCUGCAUUUCCUUUUUCAAAUGAGAGAACCGAUCAGAGGACGCUUAGGAGAUGCUGGACUGUUGCGGGAGUUCUGAGGUCCUCAGGAGGCCACACUCCAGUUCCCAGACCUGGGUGAACAGCACGAGGCCCAGAGAGGGAAAGGAACGGCCUGAGGUCACACAGCAGAAUGUCAGCUCCUCAAGAGCAGGAACACUGCUGUUUUGCUCCUCCUGUACCCCCAGUGCCCCCAAAGGGCCUGGUUCAUAGCAGGUGCUCCAGGAACAUUUGCUGGAUGAGAGAACGCUGCAUAGCGGGCGGGCAUGGUGGAGCCGGACCGCCUGGGUUUGAAUCCUGGCUCUGCCCCUUCCAAGCUGGGUAGCUCCAGGCAAGUGACUUGGCUUCUCUGAGCCCCAGGUGCCUCCUCUAGGCUGGGGAGAAUAAGGGAUUCCCAUCCCGGAGGGCUGCCAGGCAGGAGGAAGGGAGUGAAGACAUCGCCAGGACACAGAACAAGGCUGGGCACACAGUGAGUGCUGGGAAAUGGUAUCUGACUCUUGUGAUGGUCCUGGUCCCUCAGCCAAGUGCGAGGACAGCAUGUCCCCCACUCCUACCCUGUGGGCCGGGAGAUGAAGAGGGGCCCAGAAGAGGUGUUUGGGUCUAGGGAAUGUGCUCACAGUCUCCAAUCAUGAGGGCAACAGAGUCGUCACCCACAGCCGCCUCUCCGGCCCAGCCCUUUCCCUCCUCAAUGCGCUCCUCAUCCCUUGAGGAUUCAGGAUCAAGGUCAUAGCUCACCCCUGCCUCUGGAGAAACCUAAGAAGGGAGGGGCUCACUGCCACCAGCUGGCCUUCACCCUGCUGGACAUGGCCUGGGACCCCCAGCUCCAGGGCUCAGAGCUGUGCAGACCCUGACAGUUCAAGCUCUCACCAACUGGUGGCCAGCAGGACAGGAGGAGCAAGCUCCAGACCUCCCCUCUAACCACCAGUGCUUGGCUCCCCCUGCCCUUAGGGCUCUGCAAAAGCUGUUCCCUCUGCUCGGCUCUCCCCUGGCUGACUCCCAUGCCGGGAGCAAGAGAAUGAGGGAGCCAAGGACACUGCGCCUGAGACACAAGACACGCAGACCCGGGUUUGAGGUCGGGCUCUGCUGGUUCCAACUGUGCUGCCUAGGGCAGCGACCUGGCCUCUCUGGGCCUCCAUCUCCAUAUUCCCACCGCUCCCAACUCUCCCCACCUCCCCCAGGCUGAGCCUCCACUUACUUUUCUUCCGCUUUGGCUUUUUGGGGACCUGCUCCCAAGGCUUCCUGCAACAGAAAGAGGCAGAGAGGGUGAACGGGGGACCAGCGCUGGGCCUGUCUGACCCAUGAGUAACAACAGUGGCUAGAGCCACUGCUCAUUGUACACUGAAACUAAAUCUGAACUUUUUGAGAUGGAGUCUCACUGUGUUGCCCAGGCUAGAGUGCAGUGGUGAGAUCUUGACUCAUUGCAGCCUUUGCCUCCCAGGUUCCAGCGAUUCUCCUGCCUCAGCCUCUCAAGUAGCUGGGAUUACAGGUGCACGCCACCACACCUGGCUAAUUUUUGUAUGUUUAGUAGAGACGGAGUUUCACCAUGUUGGCCAGGCUGGUCUCGAACUCCUGACCUCAGGUGAUCCGCCCACCUCAGCCUCCCAAAGUGCUGGUAUUACAGGCAUGAGCCGCCACGCCUGCCCUGAACUUUUUUUUCUUUUUGAGACAAUGUCUGUCUCUGUUGCCUAGGCUGGAGUGCAGUGGUGCGAUCUCGGUUCACUGCAACCUCCGCCUCCCAGGUUCAAGUGAUUCUCCUGCCUCAGACUCCUGAAUAGCUGGGAUUACAGACUAAUUUUGUAUUUUUAGUAGAGACGGGGUUUCACCAUGUUGGCCAUCCUGGUCUCAAGCUUCUGACCUCAGGUGAUCCGCCCACCUCGGCCUCCCAAAGUGUUGGGAUUACAGGCGUGAGCCACCGUGCCCAGCCUAGAAUCUGAACUUCUAUGUACCUUUCCCCAACUCCAGAACUGUGUCACCAGGCCCCUCCCUUGGACUCUCUCCCCAAUUGCCAUCAGCCCUGGGAGGGGGCUCUAGCAUCAUCCACCUCAAGGAGCAGGAAAAACAGGCUUGGAGGGGUGAGGCCAUCUGCCCUGGGUCCCACAGUCAGGGAGCAGAGAAGUAACAAAGUGGGUAUGAAAAGUUUGUGUGGAAGCAGAAUUCCAAGAUGGCCCCCACAGUUCUGCUGGGACACAUGCCCUGUGUGAUCCUCUUCCCCUGAGCGGGGCAGGCCUGUGAGUAGGACUGGAUGUCAAGCCUUGGUUAGGUGACUGUGAGUUAAUCAAACGGGAACAUAUCUUGUAGGGCACAGUGGCUCAAGCCUGUAGUCCCAGCUACUUGAGAGGCUGAGAGUGGUCUUGGCCCACAGCCAGCAAGACAGUGGGUACUGUCUGGGUGUGGUGUCUCACACCUGUAAUUCUAGCACUUUGGGAGGCUGAGGCAGGAGGACUGCUUGAAGCCAGGGGUUCAAGACCAGCCUGGGCAACAUAGCAAGAUCCCA